Molecule: ribosomal RNA, 254 nt
Filed under: uncultured bacterium
Lineage: Bacteria
Description: partial 16S ribosomal RNA
Rfam family: Bacterial small subunit ribosomal RNA
Source: RNAcentral
UACGUAGGGGGCAAGCGUUGCUCGGAAUCACUGGGCGUAAAGCGCGCGUAGGCGGACCUGCAAGUCGGGGGUGAAAGCCCGAGGCUCAACCUCGGAACUGCCUUCGAUACUGCGGGUCUCGAGUCCGGGAGAGGUGAGUGGAAUUCCUAGUGUAGAGGUGAAAUUCGUAGAUAUUAGGAAGAACACCAGUGGCGAAGGCGGCUCACUGGCCCGGUACUGACGCUGAGGCGCGAAAGCGUGGGGAGCAAACGGGG